CGCGUAGGCGGUUUACACAGUCAGAUGUGAAAUUCCAGGGCUUAACCUUGGGGCUGCAUUUGAUACGUGUAGACUAGAGUGUGAGAGAGGGUUGUGGAAUUCCCAGUGUAGAGGUGAAAUUCGUAGAUAUUGGGAAGAACACCGGUGGCGAAGGCAGCCAUCUGGCCUAAUACUGACGCUGAGGUACGAAAGCAUGGGGAGCAAACAGGAUUAGAUACCCCGGUA
Molecule: ribosomal RNA, 225 nt
Filed under: uncultured Asaia sp.
Lineage: Bacteria; Pseudomonadati; Pseudomonadota; Alphaproteobacteria; Acetobacterales; Acetobacteraceae
Description: partial 16S ribosomal RNA
Rfam family: Bacterial small subunit ribosomal RNA
Source: RNAcentral